Molecule: unclassified non-coding RNA, 112 nt
Filed under: uncultured Glomus
Lineage: Eukaryota; Fungi; Glomeromycota; Glomeromycetes; Glomerales; Glomeraceae
Description: sequence contains ITS1
Source: RNAcentral
AUGAUUUUUAAAGCAAACCAAGCUUUUUUAAAAGUAAGGUUUUGCGAAAUGUAUUUAAAACCCCACUCUUUUAAACAAAUUUUUCAUUCAUAUAUAUGAGUAUGAAUAAUGA